This 769-nucleotide ribosomal RNA is filed under the name uncultured marine haptophyte. Its description in RNAcentral is "bacterial SSU rRNA". It matches the Rfam family "Bacterial small subunit ribosomal RNA", at positions 535 to 1313 of the family's 1533-position model. Lineage: Eukaryota; Haptophyta. The record is from RNAcentral.
GCAGCGUUAUCCGGAAUCAUUGGGCGUAAAGCGCCUGUAGGUUGUUUAAUAAGUCUGUUGUUAAAGACUGGGGCUUAACCCCAGGAAAGCAAUGGAAACUAAUAGACUAGAGUAUGGUAGGGGUAAAGGGAAUUUCUAGUGUAGCGGUGAAAUGCGUAGAUAUUAGAAAGAACACCGGUGGCGAAAGCGCUUUACUGGACCAUUACUGACACUCAGAGGCGAAAGCUAGGGUAGCCAAAGGGAUUAGAUACCCCUGUAGUCCUAGCCGUAAACGAUGGAUACUAGAUGUUGCGCCUAUUGUGCAGUGUCGUAGCUAACGCGUUAAGUAUCCCGCCUGGGGAGUACGAUCGCAAGGUUGAAACUCAAAGGAAUUGACGGGGGCCCGCACAAGCGGUGGAGCAUGUGGUUUAAUUCGAUGCAACGCGAAGAACCUUACCAGGGCUUGACAUACUGCAAAUUUUCUUGAAAGAGAAAAGUGCCUUCGGGAAUGCAGAUACAGGUGGUGCAUGGCUGUCGUCAGCUCGUGUCGUGAGAUGUUGGGUUAAGUCCCGCAACGAGCGCAACCCUCGUUUUUAGUUGCCAUUUUAUGGGUUCUCUAGAAAGACUGCCGGUGACAAACCGGAGGAAGGUGGGGAUGACGUCAAGUCAGCAUGCCCCUUAUGCCCUGGGCUACACACGUGCUACAAUGGCUAAGACAAAGAGUCGCGAAUUCGCGAGAAUCAGCUAAUCUCAUAAACUUAGUCUAAGUUCAGAUUGUAGGCUGCAACUC